Molecule: non-coding RNA, 45 nt
Filed under: Schistosoma mattheei
Lineage: Eukaryota; Metazoa; Platyhelminthes; Trematoda; Strigeidida; Schistosomatidae
Source: RNAcentral
AUUCAGCUGACGAGUACUAAAUAGGACGAAACGCGUGUAUUAGAU